GACACGCAAACUUCUCAACAGGCCGUACCAAUAUCCGCAGCUGGUCUCCAAGGUGAAGAGUCUCUAGUCGAUAGAAUAAUGUAGGUAAGGGAAGUCGGCAAAUUAGAUCCGUAACUUCGGGAUAAGGAUUGGCUCUGAAGAUUGAGAUAGUCGGGCUUGAUUGGGAAACAAUAACAUGGUUUAUGUGCUCGUUCUGGGUAAAUAGAGUUUCUAGCAUUUAUGUUAGUUACUUGUUCCCCGGAUAGUUUAGUUACGUAGCCAAUUGUGGAACUUUCUUGCUAAAAUUUUUAAGAAUACUAUUUGGGUUAAACCAAUUAGUUCUUAUCAAUUAUAACGAUUAUCAAUUAACAAUCAAUUCAGAACUGGCACGGACUUGGGGAAUCCGACUGUCUAAUUAAAACAAAGCAUUGUGAUGGCCCUAGCGGGUGUUGACACAAUGUGAUUUCUGCCCAGUGCUCUGAAUGUCAAAGUGAAGAAAUUCUGGGGGGGGAUCUGGGGUAAUUGCGAGCAGAGGGGGAGUAUUUUUCUGUAAUUCGUAAGUCAUAUCAUAUGGUGUGCGGAAGGGGAAUUUUACUCUGUAACUCACAAGUCUCUCCUUUACUCAAGUCGACUCAAAACCUCCUCGUGGUGGUCCCCGGU
This 639-nucleotide non-coding RNA is filed under the name Drosophila simulans. RNAcentral describes it as "Eukaryotic large subunit ribosomal RNA". It matches the Rfam family "Eukaryotic large subunit ribosomal RNA", at positions 1819 to 2232 of the family's 3401-position model. The record is from Rfam by way of RNAcentral. Lineage: Eukaryota; Metazoa; Arthropoda; Insecta; Diptera; Drosophilidae.